Molecule: small RNA, 75 nt
Filed under: Roseibium sp. TrichSKD4
Lineage: Bacteria; Pseudomonadati; Pseudomonadota; Alphaproteobacteria; Hyphomicrobiales; Stappiaceae
Description: suhB
Source: RNAcentral
GCUAUGAGCCUCCGGGCGUCUCAUGACCGCGAUUUCAAGGGCAGCACUCCAUCGCUGCCCUUUCUUUUUGGCAGA